AGUGAACGCUGGCGGUAGGCCUAACACACGCAAGUCGAACGGCAGCACAGGAGAGCUUGCUCUCUGGGUGGCGAGUGGCGGACGGGUGAGGAAUACAUCGGAAUCUACCUUUUCGUGGGGGAUAACGUAGGGAAACUUACGCUAAUACCGCAUACGACCUACGGGUGAAAGUGGGGGACCGCAAGGCCUCACGCGAUUAGAUGAGCCGAUGUCCGAUUAGCUAGUUGGCGGGGUAAUGGCCCACCAAGGCGACGAUCGGUAGCUGGUCUGAGAGGAUGAUCAGCCACACUGGAACUGAGACACGGUCCAGACUCCUACGGGAGGCAGCAGUGGGGAAUAUUGGACAAUGGGCGCAAGCCUGAUCCAGCCAUACCGCGUGGGUGAAGAAGGCCUUCGGGUUGUAAAGCCCUUUUGUUGGGAAAGAAAUCCUGUCGAUUAAUACGCGGUGGGGAUGACGGUACCCAAAGAAUAAGCACCGGCUAACUUCGUG
RNAcentral lists this ribosomal RNA (490 nucleotides) under uncultured bacterium. RNAcentral describes it as "partial 16S ribosomal RNA". It matches the Rfam family "Bacterial small subunit ribosomal RNA", at positions 29 to 507 of the family's 1533-position model. The record is from RNAcentral.